GGGACGGAGUCCGGGAAGCGGAGAAGGAGGACGCCGAGGCAAGGAGGAGGCGCGCCGCGCCCGGCGCCCGGCUCCACGCGGCGGGCUGCCUCUGCUCCCCGCACGGCGGCCCCAGCUCAACUCAGGAAGCCUUUCCAAUACUCUGGGUCUGGAUCAGAUGCUUUCUAAGUGUGCAGCAGUGCCCUCCUCUGCAGCCUGGCUUCCUGUGCUGACCUUCCCCUAUUAGAGGUCCUUUGCAGCCAGCAUGAUAACGUAUUUAUAACACGUGGAGGAGAGAGAGCUCACCAUGCUCAGGUUGUAGUUGCCUUGAGGUCAUCCUCCACAUUGCCUUAAAGAAGUGCUCAUCUCCUGCCAAACUCCUCCCCAGGCUCAUGGCUUCUAAAGGGAAGUCAGGCCUUCCCAGCCGGGUGCUUGAAAGUCUCAGCCUUUUCUCUCUUCUGUUUACUCUGUAAAUCAUUUAUUCAAGCUAGCUUUGUCUGCUUGGCUUCUCACGCAGUUUGUUCCUUUCCCCUCCUCGCGUCCCUUUCCAAAAUCCUCCCAUCCUUCAAGAUCUCACUCAUAUUCCUGUCCUUUGUGAAACUUUGCUCAUGCAUAAUUGCACCCCUUCUGAACUCCAGGAGAACUUUCAAUGGACUCUUCCUAUCA
Molecule: long non-coding RNA, 645 nt
Filed under: Equus asinus (donkey)
Lineage: Eukaryota; Metazoa; Chordata; Mammalia; Perissodactyla; Equidae
Description: lncRNA (ENSEASG00005030097.1)
Source: RNAcentral